Lonchura striata (white-rumped munia) is the source of this 870-nucleotide non-coding RNA. The record is from RefSeq and is a predicted model, not a curated record. NCBI's taxonomy places the organism in Eukaryota, Metazoa, Chordata, Aves, Passeriformes, Estrildidae.
AUUAAGAGACAGGAAGGAAUGCCAAGAAUGAGUAUUUUUAGUCAAAACCCCUUAACUGUAGCAGUGUUUGGAACCUUAACCUCCCCAAAGGAAAUGUCUCUGUCCUUUGUUAUAGAGGAGAGUGCUUUUCUUUCACUGUAAGCAGACAGAGUGGCAACACCGAGUUUAGAGUGUGCUUUGAGUGUUCUUUUAUUCUGCACUUUUUGAUUCUCUUUGUAAUAAUAUUAGAGUCAAACCACAUGAGUUAAUAAAUGCUAAUGCCACCGACCUUAAUGGAAGAUGAAGGUUCAGUGAGUCUAUUUUUCCUGUAAUGCAGUAAAGAGGCUUUAGAUCAGAGUUUGAUGCAAAAUCCUUUGGAGGAAAUGUGAAGAAUCCCCUUGAUCCUGGAGCAUUAUGGAUUGGUGUCUCCAUGUUGUAAUCUGACCAUGCACAAUACAGAAGUCCAAGAACUGGUAACUGCAGCUCUUCCACCAUCACUCACUGCAUAUCUGACAGGCUGUUCAAAGAAUUGUCUACUCCUCACAUGUACCAAGCUGCUCCAGGUGGGAACUCUGAAGGAAUGGAGUGAAAGUAAUGCCAAGAAAAUUAUUCAAAAUUUGUUCAUGAAGAAAACAAGCUUGAGAGGACAAGGGAUGUUCAGGCUCCAUUCCACUUUCCUUCCCAGAGGCUUUUUCAUAAUUCAAAUGCCAUAGGCUAGUUCAGUAUAUCUACAAUGAGCUCUUCAGUCUCUUCUUUCAAGGACCUUGCUCCUUCCAAAAGGGAGAUGUGACAGUUUCAAGUGGAAUGGCUCUUGCAGGAGAUUUUCUUUAAAAGGUUGAAGUAAAUCCAACAAAACCAGAACAAAAUAAACCCUGCAUACCAAACAAAGAG